This is a long non-coding RNA of Ictalurus punctatus (channel catfish), 3124 nucleotides long. The record is from Ensembl. NCBI's taxonomy places the organism in Eukaryota, Metazoa, Chordata, Actinopteri, Siluriformes, Ictaluridae.
AAGAUUAGUAUUUUGCCGAUUCUGCAAGGCGUACGUAAAUGUAUGACCUCAACUGUAGUUAAGUUGUAGGAAGAGACCGUUAUGGGAAUGUACAUCAAGACCUAAAGAAAAAAAGUGACUUACAGAACAGCAUAAGUACUCUGGUGGGGUACUCUCCAUUAUCCUGGCUGUAGUAUCCAGUGAGACAGUUGGAACAGGAUGGUAAUAAGUAGUACUGGUAAAUUUCAUCAGUGCCUGUCAAUAUGCAUAUAAAAAUGUUAUGAAAAUAAAAAGACAAAAAAUAAAAUAGUGUUUCAUUUGCUGGUCAUAGCAUGGAUCAGGGGAUUAUUUAGGAUUUACCAGUGUCAUGCACAGCAUUAUUUUGAACAGGGAAUUCCACAGGAUCUCUAAGCGUACAUUCUUUCCCUAUACUGCAGAGGAAAAGGAACAAACAUGAAAGAAUAAGGACUAAAACAUUGCAGUGAAACUAUUCAGGCUACUACAGAACAAUAGCAGUGUAAAAAAUACCCAUAUAAGAGUUUAAAGAGAAAUCGGUAUAUAGUUUUAUACCCCAUUCUCGAGUCCUCGAAUUCUCGAGUCUCAUGGUCAGAAGGUGUUGAUUAAUUUUCUAGAAUAGCAGCUCGGACAGUGGUGCUGGCUGUAAUUCACAUCACAGUGCUUGUUCUAUAUAAUAUAGUAACAGCUCAUUCACAGAGACACAUAAUGGAAAGCUAAUCUUGUUUUUGUUUAAUGAAGGUAUAUAUAUAUAUAUAUAUAUAUAUAUAUAUGUCAUAUUGUGUGUGUGUGUGUAUAGCCUAAUAUAACAGGAACGGAUGGAUAAAUGCAUGGUUUUCUUCAAUAAAAAUAGUAAUCAUUGACUUAUUGCUGUGGUAUAAGUGGAAUAAAACACUUCAGGAUGCUGUUAUUGGAACAGGAUCAACUUCUGAUUGGUAACAGCGACAUCACACCACCCCGUUGUUGAUUAUUUUCCACUAACAGCAUACGCAAAUAUGUUUCCCAGCUAUCCUACAAGAAUCUGUGACCACAGUCACCUACAUUUCAUACUGCUUACUUGUUUUAAUAUACUACUCCGGGAUAAGCGAGAUCCACGCAUUGGUAUUUAGCAGUUAAUACCUGUAUUUGGUUUCUAAGCUGAAAAUAUCUGGUUCUCCAGUUCGUAUAAGAGAGUGUAAAUAUGGAUAUGAAUAUUCCACCUGGAAAUAGCAAGUAAAAGAUAUUCAAACGAUAGGGAGGCUCAUAACCUGAGUGCUUGUCUCAAAAGGAUGGUAUCGUUUUUUGUACCAGGUGAGAUCUCCAUCCAGUGUGACUCCAUCGACUCUAGUAUCAUUGCCACUAUACCAUCAUGUACGCUUUCAACCAGGAUCCACUUCCCCAUGAUCUAAAAUAUGAAUGAGCUGUAGUUGCCACUGAGUACCAGAGGCUUUGUGAUUUUCUCACAGGGUAUAUCAGUGCUGAAAAAAGACUGGACACUCAGAAGAGCCAGAGCGAAACUGCUUAUCGGGGGAGCCAUGCCAGUUCCUUGUCCUGAAUGACAAACAGGACUCUUGCAGGACCUUUAUAGUCCUGUCUGUUUGUGCUAGUGAGGCAACACAUCUGUGUUGACACUCUUUCCAAUGUAAAAAAACAAUUCCAGGAAAUCUGUACAGAACCUGAACUGCGUAAAAAAAAAAAAAACCCAACUAGUCUGAGGACAGGUUUAAUGUGUUUUUAGUCCCCUAUUAGCUUAGGAACCUUUAUUUUUGCGGAAUAUGAUUUCAAAACAUCUCCUCAUUUCAAAUCUCUGCAUUUAAUUUUUUUUAAAUAUUAUAUUAGAUAUAUAGUAUAUUAUAGACAUAGACAAACACUAAUCUCAGGAUCUUGUUUUAUUGGAAUUAAAAAAAAAAUUAUUAUUACUAUUACAGAUUGAUUGAAACCCUAUGCAACCAUGGAGUUGUAUUUUAUUAAAUUUUUUUUUAAAGUACUGGAUAUUUAGCAUCAUUUCAGAAAUGAAGUCAGGUGGAGAGAUUAUCAUGGUAUUAAGAAUAAAACUGUAGGGUUGGAAUAAAGAUGUAUAAAGAGACAUGUACAAGCUUAGGGUAACUAAAUGUUCUAGCAAUGAUUUCUAUUGCUGAUGGACACAAAGUGUGUUUAAGUCAUUAAUCAUUAUUAGGUGUGGCAAGGAUGGGAGUUUAGUACAGGUUACAUCAGAGGUCAAAUGUCGAGUGUCAUCCAGCGAGGUACGACACAAUAAAUACGAAUGCCAUACAGCAAUCGUUCCCUUUUUUCAUCUCGUCUGUGCUCUGGGGAAUAUAAUGCUAUACAGUAAUAUCAAUGUAAUGAUACGGGUCAAGAGCUUCAGUUAAUGUUUACAUGAGACAUGAGAAUAGAAUGGGGGGAACACUGUAAUGUCAGUGGCUUUGUUUGAUCGUGUCGAAUGGGGCUGGUUUGAGUAUUUCAGAAAGUGCAAAUGACCUGGAACAUUCUACAGUGUUUAAACAGAAUGCCAUGACAGAAGAACAAACAGCAAAACAGCCAGGAAGUAACACCUUGUUGAUGAGAGAGGGCAGAGGAGAAUGUCCAGAAUGGUUUGAGUUGACAGGAAGGCUACGGUAACUCAAAUAACCACUCAUUGCAACCGUGGUGAGCAGAAAAGCAUCACAGAAUGCAAAACAUGCCGAACAGUGGGCUACAGAGGGCACAGGCUCGCUUGAACAGUUGAAGAAACCAGAAAAAAAAUAACAGGUAAAAAUAUCUAAAGACGAACAGGAUGUGAGCGUGUCGUAAAAAGGGACACAGAUGGCUGAUAAGUCAGAGUGUGUAAGAGCAGGAUGAUCAUCGGGAAAUGCAGACUUGUGUUAGGUGGUGAUGCGCUGUUGGAGCAGGGACAUUCCCCAUGAUUCUCUGUAUGUCUCGUUGUAGUUUUGGACCUGCGCCUGAUCUGCUCCAAUGCGCCUUCCUCUUCUCUCUCUUGAAGCUCCUGCUGACCAACAAUGGAUGUCAGAGAGAUAUCUCCAGGGUGAAGAGGGGAAGGGUCGGGGCAGUUCAACCAAUCUGAGGCCACAGGUCGGGGAAAUCCCUCCUCAGGGGAGGAGCCUGGGUGGGCAAAUUUCCAAUAGUGAGAGCCUUUGAAGAGGAAGAGAGAACC